RNAcentral lists this transfer RNA (62 nucleotides) under Cichlidogyrus casuarinus. Its description in RNAcentral is "tRNA-Gly". The record is from RNAcentral. Lineage: Eukaryota; Metazoa; Platyhelminthes; Monogenea; Dactylogyridea; Ancyrocephalidae.
GGGCAGGUAGUAUAUUUAUUAUGCUGCUUUUCCAAAGCAGAGAUCUAGCGUUAGUUUGCCCA